Molecule: ribosomal RNA, 496 nt
Filed under: uncultured bacterium
Lineage: Bacteria
Description: partial 16S ribosomal RNA
Rfam family: Bacterial small subunit ribosomal RNA
Source: RNAcentral
GAUGAACGCUGGCGGCGUGCCUAAUACAUGCAAGUCGAGCGAACAGACGAGGAGCUUGCUCCUCUGACGUUAGCGGCGGACGGGUGAGUAACACGUGAUAACCUACCUAUAAGACUGGGAUAACUUCGGGAAACCGGAGCUAAUACCGGAUAAUAUAUUGAACCGCAUGGUUCAAUAGUGAAAGACGGUUUUGCUGUCACUUAUAGAUGGAUCCGCGCCGCAUUAGCUAGUUGGUCAGGUAACGGCUUACCAAGGCAACGAUGCGUAGCCGACCUGAGAGGGUGAUCCGGCACACCGGAACUGAGACACGUUCCAAACUCCUACGGGAGGCGACAGUAAGGAAUCUUCCGCAAUGGGCGAAAGCCUGACGGAGCAACGGCGCGUGAUUGAUGAAGGUCUUCGUAUCAUAAAACUCUGUUAUUAGGGAAGGAAAAAUGUGUAAGUAACUAUGCACGUCUUGACAGUACCUAAUCAGAAAGCCACGGCUAACUACGUG